Molecule: ribosomal RNA, 425 nt
Filed under: uncultured bacterium
Lineage: Bacteria
Description: bacterial SSU rRNA
Rfam family: Bacterial small subunit ribosomal RNA
Source: RNAcentral
GGGGAAUAUUGGACAAUGGGCGAAAGCCUGAUCCAGCCAUGCCGCGUGUGUGAAGAAGGUCUUCGGAUUGUAAAGCACUUUAAGUUGGGAGGAAGGGCAGUAAGUUAAUACCUUGCUGUUUUGACGUUACCAACAGAAUAAGCACCGGCUAACUUCGUGCCAGCAGCCGCGGUAAUACGAAGGGUGCAAGCGUUAAUCGGAAUUACUGGGCGUAAAGCGCGCGUAGGUGGUUUGGUAAGAUGGAUGUGAAAUCCCCGGGCUCAACCUGGGAACUGCAUCCAUAACUGCCUGACUAGAGUACGGUAGAGGGUGGUGGAAUUUCCUGUGUAGCGGUGAAAUGCGUAGAUAUAGGAAGGAACACCAGUGGCGAAGGCGACCACCUGGACUGAUACUGACACUGAGGUGCGAAAGCGUGGGGAGCAAAC